RNAcentral lists this RNase P RNA (328 nucleotides) under Bacillota bacterium. Its description in RNAcentral is "RNase P RNA component class B". It matches the Rfam family "Bacterial RNase P class B". Rfam says of the family: Ribonuclease P (RNase P) is a ubiquitous endoribonuclease, found in archaea, bacteria and eukarya as well as chloroplasts and mitochondria. Its best characterised activity is the generation of mature 5'-ends of tRNAs by cleaving the 5'-leader elements of precursor-tRNAs. Lineage: Bacteria; Bacillati; Bacillota. The record is from RNAcentral.
UCAGUCUAUGCAAUCGCUAGUUUAUAACUAGAGGAAAGUCCAUGCUCGCACUAUCUGAGAUGAUAGUAGUGAUUGUGCUAGGAGAAAAAAUAAUCCUAGGUACUAGGGAGCUAGUAACGGCUAUUUUUGGGCCUAAAGGUAUACCUAUGGCUUAAAAGAGUAAAGUGCCACAGAGACGAUUUUAUUUGAAAAAAUAAAGUGAAACGAGGUAAACCCCGCAAGCGAGAAACUCAAAUUUUGGUAGAGGAAGUUGAUAGGAGAAAUUGAAUCUAACUCAGCAAGGAAACUUAGAUAAAUGGUUGCAUAAAACAGAACAUGGCUUAUGGAC